RNAcentral lists this ribosomal RNA (253 nucleotides) under uncultured bacterium. Its description in RNAcentral is "partial 16S ribosomal RNA". It matches the Rfam family "Bacterial small subunit ribosomal RNA", at positions 524 to 776 of the family's 1533-position model. The record is from RNAcentral.
UACGUAGGGGGCUAGCGUUGUCCGGAAUCAUUGGGCGUAAAGCGCGUGUAGGCGGUCCGGUAAGUCCGCUGUGAAAGUCGAGGGCUCAACCCUCGAAUGCCGGUGGAUACUGUCGGGCUUGAGUACGGGAGAGGCGAGUGGAAUUCCUGGUGUAGCGGUGAAAUGCGCAGAUAUCAGGAAGAAUACCAAUGGCGAAGGCAGCUCUCUGGGACGGUACUGACGCUGAGACGCGAAAGCGUGGGGAGCGAACAGG